Saccostrea cuccullata (small rock oyster) is the source of this 486-nucleotide long non-coding RNA. RefSeq lists it as uncharacterized. NCBI's taxonomy places the organism in Eukaryota, Metazoa, Mollusca, Bivalvia, Ostreida, Ostreidae. The record is from RefSeq and is a predicted model, not a curated record. The transcript is spliced from 4 exons.
GCUCGAUGAGCAAUUAAUUUAAACAACACACCGCGCCGAAAUUUAAAUUUUUGGGGUGUUCAACGUAGCCAUGUUGAUAUUGUACAGAAGGAAAGUUCGGAAAAGAGUGUCGCGAAAAGGAGAAUCAUGACUAGCUUUGGAUCGAAUUUCUGUUUUGACAGAAGAUGAAGACAUUUUACGACUCGGUACUGCGUUGCAUGCAGUGGACUGUGCCCGAGACGAUUCCCACUGCGCCGGCGAAUAGUCAGCUUGUAAAAAUGGAAUCUGAAUGCUCACAAGAAGGACAAAAGCAGUAUGAAAAUUAACACAAAGAAAUUGUGCCAGAAAAGUUUGAAGUGUCUAUGGGAAUGAUCAACAAUGAACAUUGAACUUUCUGAGCCUUUGUACUUAAAGUGAAUCCGUUCGUGACAUGACCAGUUAUUUGGCUACCCUCUAACAUAACGCCAUCUUUUAUUUAUUUAUUAUUGUGAAUUUCAUGGGAUAUCA